Non-coding RNA from Mesocricetus auratus (golden hamster), 423 nucleotides. The record is from the annotation of a RefSeq genome assembly. Lineage: Eukaryota; Metazoa; Chordata; Mammalia; Rodentia; Cricetidae.
AUGGAUAUGAGAACAUCUGCUCAGCUUCGUGUGCUUCUGUUGCUCCAGAUUCCAGGUGCCAGAUGUGAUAUCCAGAUGACCCUGUCUCCAUCCUCCCUAUCUGCAUCACUGGGAGACAGAGUCUCUAUCACUUGCAAGGUCAGUCAGGGUAUUAACAAUUAUUUAAACUGGUUCCAGCAAAAACCAGGGAAAGCCCCUGAGCUCCUGAUCUAUGGUGCAAAUAGCUUAGAAGACGGAGUCCCAUCGAGGUUCAGUGGCAGUGGGUCUGGGACAGAUUAUCCUCUCACCAUUAGCAACCUGGAGUCUGAAGACAUUGUAUUUUAUUUCUGUCUGCAAGUUUAUGAUACCCCUCCCACAGAGAUACAAAUCAUAACAAAAACGUCAUUGAAAAAGAAGUGGGAGCCUGGGCUGCCCCAGCUGUAA